CAUCCAUUUACACUUCUUUCCAUAUGUUGGUGUGACUCCCCUUCUGUCCGGCAUUACGGCUGCAGUGUACUUGCCGCGUCAGCACACACGACGGCUGGAACUACAGUAUGGUCUUCCCAGUGGACCAGCACCACAUCCAUCUGGAUUGAGACGAGUAGGGGACAUCUCUAGGGUCUUCACAUAUUGAUACACACACCAUUGCAACUUAGAUCACCAUCACCACCACCAUCCCCUGCAUCAGACACCCUAAAUCGUGCCCUUCAUCAGACACCCUACAGUAAAUGCACCACAAACAACACAGGCAAAGAAGAAGAAAACGCACGACAAAUCUCCUCCAGCCCAUCCCACAUCAUCGUAUAGUAAAGUGACGCCGCCGGAUAAUAAUGACGGCCUGUGUGCUUUGCAGCCUUUUCCAGGGAUCCUUCAGAGGACUAACAAUGGUGCUGUGUUAAGAAAUCCUACCCAACAAAAUUCCACUGAGGCAGAUGUAGAGAUGACUGCGAGAAACUGGCUGCGGCUGAGGAGGGACAGGAAGCAAGAGGGCGAGCAUCUUAAAGUGAAAUAAUUGAUUGGACUGAUUUUUCCUGUUUACCUAUUUUGGAGGGAAUUUCUUUUUGUUGUUGUUGUACUUUUCUAUGUGUGAUUUGAUGAGUGUUAAAAUAAAUGAUACUGCUUUUGCAAAAACAAAAGUAAAAAAUAAAUGUUCAAGGUCA
Pimephales promelas (fathead minnow) is the source of this 713-nucleotide non-coding RNA. The record is from RefSeq and is a predicted model, not a curated record. NCBI's taxonomy places the organism in Eukaryota, Metazoa, Chordata, Actinopteri, Cypriniformes, Leuciscidae.